GGAUUGUGACUCAGUGGUAGAGUGCUUGCCUAGCACAUGUGAGGCACUGGGUUCGAUCCUCAGUACCA
This 68-nucleotide transfer RNA is filed under the name Marmota monax (woodchuck). RNAcentral's name for it is "tRNA.Ala". The record is from RNAcentral. Lineage: Eukaryota; Metazoa; Chordata; Mammalia; Rodentia; Sciuridae.